CAGGAACAUUAACCUCGUCUUGAGUGCGGAGAGGCGUUGGUCUAGCUGUAGGUCUUUCACCGGUUUUCAAGCCUUUAGUUUUUCUUUUAGUCAAGAUGAGUAAUAAGCCAGACUUGUCUGAAGUGGAGAAGUUUGGUCAAAACUGAAGAAAACUAACACUAAAGAAAAAAAUACUCUCCCUUCAAAGGAAACUAUCCAACAAGAGAAAGAGUGUGUUCAAACAUCAUAAAAUGUGGAUCUCCUCCCAACAGAAAAUUUCAACAUUGCUUUAGUGUCUUAGUUUGGGGCUUGUUUUUUGUAAACUUAUGUGUUUGUAGCUAUUUUAGGCAUCUUCUGAUGUCUUCCCAUCCAUAUCCCAUAGCCAAGAGGUCAGGGGAAGCCAGUGUUCCCUUUUUUUAAACUUUCCAUUGGUACAUACAUUCCAGUUGGCAGAUGCUGUUAAUAAUCUUACCAUUGAUGACAUUUCUGUGUGUAGUCCUUGCACCCCCAAAGGUUAAACCACUUUUAACUUUCUAUAGUGGCUGUAUUUGUUGUUCCAUAAUAUUCAUGAAGUGGCAUACAUUUGCACCUUCUCAGUUUAUUUUCAUU
Long non-coding RNA from Prionailurus viverrinus (fishing cat), 588 nucleotides. RefSeq lists it as uncharacterized. The transcript is spliced from 3 exons. The record is from RefSeq and is a predicted model, not a curated record. Lineage: Eukaryota; Metazoa; Chordata; Mammalia; Carnivora; Felidae.